GUGUUGUAUGAAAGGAGAGCUGGUUAGCACUCCCCUUGACAAGGAUGGAAUAUAACACACAAUUUGGUAAGGCACAACUGCCAAGCAGUACUUACCACAUUUUUUUU
This is a small nuclear RNA of Neocloeon triangulifer, 107 nucleotides long. NCBI's taxonomy places the organism in Eukaryota, Metazoa, Arthropoda, Insecta, Ephemeroptera, Baetidae. The record is from RefSeq and is a predicted model, not a curated record.